UGUUUAUUUGAGUGAACAUUCAGCUAAUUGUUACAGAAUCGUUGCCCCCAUUAAUCUUAGGCUGUAGAAUGUAGACAAGUAAAUAGGCAUCAUCAGUAUGAUGAGAGUGAAGCUACUUAAUACUGUGGAAUCAAAUAAAGGAGGAACCCCUUACUAAACCAAGAGGGAGGAAUAAAAUGGAAUGGGACUAGAGAAGCAAUUAGCUUUAAUAAGGGUAUUAUGGAAGACUUUCUAGAUGAGAAGCAGUAAGUACAGAUGUUUGGAGGCAAACACUAGAGAGAUUGUUGGGUAAAGAAGACAAUGCUGGAGGUCUACUUGUGAAGGCCUUGAAUGCUAUGUGCAGAAGUCAGCUUCUGAGAACCAGGAAGAAGAUAUUGAAAGAUUUUAAGUAGAAGAAUCAUAGGAUUGAAUUCAUUUUAGACAGAUCACUGUUACACAAAAAUUUGAGGCAGGAGAAUUGCUUGAACCCGGGAGGCGGAGUUUGCAGUGAGCCAAGAUAGUGCCAUCGCACUCCAGCCUGGACAACAGAGCGAGACUCCAUCUAAAAAAAAAAAAAAAAAAAAAAAAAACUCAGUUUUUGGUUUUGAAAAUGUCAUGAUACCUGUUGAGAUAACUGCUGAAUAGAUGGGUAAUACACAGUCUAGGGCAUGGUAUCAAAAGAACUUGUCACUGUACAUAUCGGAAAUGGUAAAAAUAUGUUUUGCCGUUUUCACGAAUUCAUUCAUUUUUCAUGUUUCAUGAAUUCAUUCUUUUUAAAAAAAAAAAAUCCUGCUAAUUCUCUGUUUCUCUUGCUUUUCUCCUUUAUGACUAAGUUUUCCUCAUUAUGGGUUACCCCACAUUACUGCUUACGAAGACAUCUCUUUAGUCAGAAAACAGUAGCUUGGUUCAGUUCUAGCUUCAUUGUUAAGCUCAUAGGUAAAUCUGGCAAAUGGCUAGAAACAGUCACAUGUUUGCUUGUCCUUAAUGCUCUCACCUUUUCCCAGCUAUUUGGAUGUAUAUACUUUUGCUUACUUUGUAGUGUACCAACUUAAUAUAUGUUAUAGACUAAAUGUUUAUGUCCUCCCAAACUUCAUAUUUUGGAAGCCAGACAUGGUAACUCACACCUGUAAACCUAACACUUUGGGAGGCCUAGGUGGGAGGAUUGCUUGAGUCCGGGAGUUCAGAACCAGCCUGGACAACAUAGUGAGACCCCGUCUCUACAAAAAAAAAAAAAAUUUUUAAUUAGCCAGGUGUGGUGGCAUACACCUGUAGUCCCAGCUACUCAGGAGGCUUGCCUGAGCCCAGAAGUUUGAGACUGCAGUGAGCCAUGAUAUUGCCAGCCUGGGUGACAGAGCAAGACCUUGUCUCAAGAAAAAAAAAAAAAAUUGCCAAUUGCGAUGGCUCACGCCUGUAAUCCCAGCACUAGGAGGCCGAGGUGGGUGAAUCACCUGAGGUCAGGAGUUUUGAGACCAGCCUGGCCAACGUGGCAAAACCCCGUCUCUACUAAAAAUGCAAAAAUUACCGGGACGUGUUGGUGAGCACCUGUAAUCCCUGCUACUCGGGAGGCUGAGGCAAGAGAAUCUCUUGAACCCAGGGGGUGGAGGUUGCACUGAGCCGAGAUCAUGCCAUUGUACUUCACCUGGGCAACAAGAGGGAAACUGUCUCCAAAAAAAAAAAAUUUGGAGGGCUGGGCACGGUGGCUCACACCUGUAAUCCCAGCACUUUGGGAGGCCAAGGCGGUGGAUCACAAAGUCAGGAGUUCAAGACCAGCCUGGCCAACAUAGUGAAACCCUGUCUCUACUAAAAAUACAAAAAUUAGCCAGGCAUGGUGGCACACGCCUGUAGUCCCAGCUACUGGGGAGGCUGAGGCAGGAGAAUUGCUUUGAACCCGGGAGGCAGAGGUUGUGAGCUGAGAUCGCGUCAGUACACUCCAGCCUGGGCAACAAUGCGAGAUUGCAUCUCAAAAAAAUAAAUAAAUAUUUGGAGUCCCAUAAUAAAUAAAUAUUUGGAGUCCAAUGUGAUAGUAUCUGGAGAUGGGGCCUUUGGAGGUAAUAUGGGUUAGAUAGGUCAUGACGGUAGGGCCCUCAUUAUGGGAUUAGUGGCGUUAUAAGAAGAAGAGAGAAAUCUUCCUCCUCAAGAGCAGAGGAAAAGCCAUAUAAGAAUACAGUGAGACGGCCACUUCCAAACCAGAAAGGGAGCCCCCACCAGGAACCAAAUUGGCUGGCACCUUGAUCUUGGACUUCCCAUGCUCCAGAACUGUGAGAAAUAAAUUUCUAUUAUUUAAGCCCAUGGUAGUUUUAUGGCAUCCUAAGCUAAGACAGCGCGUCUCUAGUUUCCCACAGAUUCAUAAAGGUCCAUACAAAAAUGUUAUAACUGUUAAUAGUGUCCUGUCCUUGAAUUUAACAGCAACCAACAUAUUGUUUGCAUAGUUCUUGCACCAUUUGGAAACAGUGACCUUUAGGUGUUGCAGGUAACUAUUGGGAAAUCCUUCAAUUUGUUUAACAUUUCCAUAUUUUGAUUUGCAUCUUGGGAGUUGCUUGGAAUUUGGGAUCCUCUUCUGUCUCUUGAGUUGAAAUCAGAGGCUGCUUGCCGGGCAAGGUGGCUCACGCCUGUAAUCCCAGCACUUUGGGAGGCCCAGGCAGACAGAUCACCAGAUGUCGGGAGUUAGAAACCAGCCUGGCCAACAUGGCAAAACCCCGUCUCUACUAAAAAUACAAAAAUUAGUCGGGCGUGCUGGUGCAUGCCUGUAAUCCUAGCUGCUUGGGUGCUGAGUUAGGAGAAUUGCUUGAAUCCGGGAGGUGGAGGUUGCAGUGAGCCAAGAUCGUGUCACUGCACUCCAGCCGGGGCAACAGAGCAAGACUCUGCCUCAAAAAAAAGAAAAAAGAAAUCAGAGGCUGGGCAUAGUGGCUCAUGCCUAUAAGCCCAGCACUUUGGGAGGCCAAGGCAGGUGGAUCACUUGAGGCCAGGAGUUCAAGACCAGCCUGGGCAACAUGGCAAAAGCCUAUCUCUACUAGAGAUACAAAAGAUUAGCUGGACGUGAUGGUGUGUGCCUGUAAUCCCAGCUACUCAAGAGGCUGAGGCACAAGAGAAUUGCUUGAACACAGGAGGUGGAGGUUGCAGUGAGCCAAGAUCACGCCACUGCACUCCAACCUGGGGCAACAGAGUGAGACUCUGUCUCAAAAAAAAAAAAAAGAAAUCAGAGAUAAUAUAAAUGCAGGUGUAAACUCAUACACUUAAUGGGCUAUAAGUUUUGGAACUGGCUGUGAUAAUAUAACAAAAGUAAUAAUGGGCUGUAAGUGGUAUUAAAUGUGGGAUUAACUGGAUAUUUAAUGAUACCAAGGAAUCAUUAAUUUUGUUUGGCUGUGAUGUUUUAUUAUUAGAAUGAUGUUAUGAUUAAAUUUUAUUUUUGUCUGGAUACAGUGGCUCACACCUGUAAUCCCAGUGCUUUGGGAGGCCGAGGCAGAUGGAUCACUUGAGGCCAGGAGUUCCAGACCAGCCUGGCCAACACGGCGAAACCCCAUCUCUACUAAAAAUACAAAAAAUUAGCCAGGCCUGGUGGUGCACGCUUGUAAUCCCAGGUACUUGGGAGGCUAAGGCAGGAGGAUCACUUGAACCCAGGGGAGGCUGCAGUGAGCUGAGAUCGUGCCACUGCACUCCAGCUUGGGCAACAGAGCAAGACUCCAUCUUAAAAAGAAGAAAGAAAGAACUUCUAUUUUUUAAAUGUUUUUUCCUUUCAUUGAACUCCAUUUAUAGCCUUUCCAUUCAGAGCAUAAAGAUUAAAUUUUAAAACAAGGCUUGGCACCCUGGCUUAUGCCUGUAAUCCCAGCACUUUGUGAGGCCAAGGUGGGCGGAUCACCUGAGCUCAGAAGUUUGAGUCCAGCCUGGCUAACAUGGUGAAACCCCAUCUCUAAAAGAGUACACAGUCCUAGAGCAGUGGUGUGCGCCUGUAGUCCUAGCUACCUGGGAGGCUGAACCAGGAGAAUUGCUUGAGCCUGGGAGGCAGAGGUUGCAGUGAGCCAAGAUCGCACCAUUACACUCCAGCCUGGGUGACAGAGAGAGACCCUGUGCCCCUCAAAAAAAUGUUUUUUUUAAACAAGAAUCUCUCAGGCAUACUGAAAUGUUGAAGAGGAAAUUAUAUUAAUAUCUGGGACUUGUUUCCAAAUUUGGAAUUGGGGCAGGGUGUAAAUUGUUGGCAAUAUCAAAGAAACGAGGAGUUGGAAUGAUAAUUGUAGAAGCUGCAUGAUAGAUACACAUUCUUUAUACUUCUGUAUAUGUUGAAAUUUUUUAUCAAAUUAUAAUUGUGUAUAAUGAC
Molecule: long non-coding RNA, 4291 nt
Filed under: Homo sapiens (human)
Lineage: Eukaryota; Metazoa; Chordata; Mammalia; Primates; Hominidae
Description: HSALNT0381297
Source: RNAcentral